Molecule: ribosomal RNA, 365 nt
Filed under: uncultured soil bacterium
Lineage: Bacteria
Description: bacterial SSU rRNA
Rfam family: Bacterial small subunit ribosomal RNA
Source: RNAcentral
AGAGUGAACGCUGGCGGCAGGCCUAACACAUGCAAGUCGAACGGCAGCACAGGGGAGCUUGCUCCCUGGGUGGCGAGUGGCGGACGGGUGAGGACAACGUCGGAAUCUGCCUUUUUGUGGGGGAUAACGUAGGGAAACUUACGCUAAUACCGCAUACGACCCCGGGCCGGGAGGUUCGGGGUGAAAGCGGAGGACCUUCGGGCUUCGCGCAGAAAGAUGAGCCGACGUCGGAUUAGCUAGUUGGUGGGGUAAAGCCCACCAAGGCGACGAUCCGUAGCUGGUCUGAGAGGAUGAUCAGCCACACUGGAACUGAGACACGGUCCAGACUCCUACGGGAGCAGCAGUGGGAAUAUUGGACAAGUGGG